RNAcentral lists this ribosomal RNA (604 nucleotides) under uncultured Actinomycetes bacterium. RNAcentral describes it as "SSU rRNA". It matches the Rfam family "Bacterial small subunit ribosomal RNA", at positions 242 to 856 of the family's 1533-position model. Lineage: Bacteria; Bacillati; Actinomycetota; Actinomycetes. The record is from RNAcentral.
CAGCUUGUUGGUGGGGUAAUGGCCUACCAAGGCGACGACGGGUAGCCGGCCUGAGAGGGCGACCGGCCACACUGGGACUGAGACACGGCCCAGACUCCUACGGGAGGCAGCAGUGGGGAAUAUUGCACAAUGGGCGAAAGCCUGAUGCAGCGACGCCGCGUGAGGGAUGACGGCCUUCGGGUUGUAAACCUCUUUCAGCAGGGAAGAAGCGCAAGUGACGGUACCUGCAGAAGAAGCACCGGCUAACUACGUGCCAGCAGCCGCGGUAAUACGUAGGGUGCGAGCGUUGUCCGGAUUUAUUGGGCGUAAAGAGCUCGUAGGCGGCUUGUCGCGUCGGAUGUGAAAGCCCGGGGCUUAACUCCGGGUCUGCAUUCGAUACGGGCAGGCUAGAGUGUGGUAGGGGAGAUCGGAAUUCCUGGUGUAGCGGUGAAAUGCGCAGAUAUCAGGAGGAACACCGGUGGCGAAGGCGGAUCUCUGGGCCAUUACUGACGCUGAGGAGCGAAAGCGUGGGGAGCGAACAGGAUUAGAUACCCUGGUAGUCCACGCCGUAAACGUUGGGAACUAGGUGUGGGUCACAUUCCACGUGGUCCGCGCCGCAGCUAAC